Haemorhous mexicanus (house finch) is the source of this 618-nucleotide long non-coding RNA. RefSeq lists it as uncharacterized. NCBI's taxonomy places the organism in Eukaryota, Metazoa, Chordata, Aves, Passeriformes, Fringillidae. The transcript has 2 exons. The record is from RefSeq and is a predicted model, not a curated record.
GAAGCCGUGCCCCAGCUGGUCUGCUUUGCAGGCCCUUGAGGAAGGGGCGCCUUUACACGUGGGAAAGGUGGGGAUUUUCCCCACCCUUGGGCAGGUUUAAUUCUCGCAUGGAGCAGUCAGACCCUCCUCAGGCCUGUGAAAUGGUGACAGGCUUUGUGCUUUUUCUUGUUUCCAGGCCUUGUUUUGAAUUGACUUCCAUGCAAUUGUUCUCUGUUUUUCCCAGGAGGAUUACACCUGGUGCCCAGACUGGACGGGGAAGUGCCUGCAGCGUCCAUGGAGCACAUCCAGUGCUAAUGCUACCCCAGGGGCCACGGUCUGUGGGGACAGCCCCUUUCAGAAGGACAAGGACCUGGUGCGGGAUCGGCUCCUCUGCUGGCAGCAGCUCUCCAGAGGCUGCCAACACCCCAUGCCAUGGGAAUGGCACUGCUCAGCCUGCGAGGCUGGGGGGCUGGAGGGCAGCCCGUGUUCAUUUGCUGUCAAAGAUAAAUUUUUUUUUUUUUUUUGUUAUCGUCGUCAUCAGAGCAUUUCUUUCAUCCUUUUCCAAGCUUUUGGUCUGUUGUGAUAAAUGGAUGUGAUUUGUGCUAAAAAAAUCUGGUGGUUUAUACCAGCUGGACUCUA